UACGAAGGGGGCUAGCGUUGCUCGGAAUCACUGGGCGUAAAGCGCACGUAGGCGGUUUACUAAGUCAGGGGUGAAAUCCUGGAGCUCAACUCCAGAACUGCCUUUGAUACUGGUGAGCUUGAGUCCGGAAGAGGUGAGUGGAACUGCGAGUGUAGAGGUGAAAUUCGUAGAUAUUCGCAAGAACACCAGUGGCGAAGGCGGCUCACUGGUCCGGUACUGACGCUGAGGUGCGAAAGCGUGGGGAGCAAACAGG
This 253-nucleotide ribosomal RNA is filed under the name uncultured bacterium. RNAcentral describes it as "partial 16S ribosomal RNA". It matches the Rfam family "Bacterial small subunit ribosomal RNA", at positions 524 to 776 of the family's 1533-position model. The record is from RNAcentral.